RNAcentral lists this long non-coding RNA (664 nucleotides) under Callithrix jacchus (white-tufted-ear marmoset). RNAcentral describes it as "lncRNA (ENSCJAG00000075765.1)". Lineage: Eukaryota; Metazoa; Chordata; Mammalia; Primates; Cebidae. The record is from RNAcentral.
ACAUUGUAGUUCCCAUGAUCUCCACAUGUUGGGAGGAACUGGUGGGAAGUAAUUGAACCAUGAAGGCAGUUUUUCCAAUGCUAUUCUUAUGAUAGUAAGUUUUCACAUGAUCUAGCAGUUUUAUACAGUGCUUCCUCCUUCACUUGACUCUCAUUCUUCACUCUCCUGCCACCUUGUGAAAAAGGACAUGUUUGUUUCCCCUUUUGCCAUGACUGCAAGUUUUCUGAGGCCUCCCCAGCCCUGCAGAACUGGAACUUAAAAUUAAAAGAUUAGCCAGACAUGAUGGCAGGCACCUGAAGUUGCAGCUACUUGGGAGGCCGAAGUGGGAGGAUCACUUGAAACAAGGAGGUUGAGGUUGCAGUGAGCCGUGAUUGUACCACUGCACUCCAGCCUGGGCAACAGAGUGGACAGACUAAAGACCGGGUUCUUUGUCCCAUUGGCCACAAAAAUUCAGGCUCACAGACAAUUUGAAUGCUUGCAUCCCAGACUCCACACAGAAGAAAAGGAGCCGGGAUCCUCCCCAGUCUACCAUGGUGCACAUGCUCAUCUCCUCUGGGAGUUUUUCGGGGGGAACCCCCUCCCUCAUGACUGUCUCAGUAAAAGAGUUACUACAAGAGAAAGUUGCAGAGGAGAAAGUAACACCAAGCUUAAUAUUAAGAAAUGA